Molecule: ribosomal RNA, 519 nt
Filed under: Triticum aestivum (bread wheat)
Lineage: Eukaryota; Viridiplantae; Streptophyta; Magnoliopsida; Poales; Poaceae
Description: partial small subunit ribosomal RNA
Source: RNAcentral
AUGCUGAGACCCAAGGGAAGAGGUGGCAUGGGAUUCAAAGAUUUGAGAUUGUUUAACCAAGCAAUGCUAGCGCUGCAAGCGUGGAGGCUUAUUGAGUUCCCGGACAGCCUAUGCGCACAGGUUUUGCGGGCUAAGUACUAUCCAUCCGGAACCCUUCUGCAGGCUACUCCAAAGAAUGGUUCUUCUUUCACCUGGAAGAGUAUACUAAAGGGACUUGAAACUUUUAAGCUUGGCUAUAUCUGGAGGAUCGGAACCGACGAGACGGUCAAUAUUUGGAAUGACCCAUGGGUCCCAGCUAGUCCGAAUAGAAGAAUUAUCACUGUCAGAGGACAAACGAUUGUGACACAGGUGAGUGAAUUGAUAGACCCUAUAGCAGGUACAUGGGAUGAGGAGUUAAUCAGGUCUAUAUUCAUACCGGUUGAUGUUCGCAGAAUCAUGCAAAUUCCUGUUAAUCUUCAAGCCUUUGAAGACUUCAUUGCAUGGCAUCCAGACCGAAAGGGACUAUUCACAGUUCGGUCA